RNAcentral lists this ribosomal RNA (353 nucleotides) under Enterococcus faecalis. Its description in RNAcentral is "bacterial SSU rRNA". It matches the Rfam family "Bacterial small subunit ribosomal RNA", at positions 243 to 588 of the family's 1533-position model. The record is from RNAcentral. Lineage: Bacteria; Bacillati; Bacillota; Bacilli; Lactobacillales; Enterococcaceae.
AGCUAGUUGGUGAGGUAACGGCUCACCAAGGCCACGAUGCAUAGCCGACCUGAGAGGGUGAUCGGCCACACUGGGACUGAGACACGGCCCAGACUCCUACGGGAGGCAGCAGUAGGGAAUCUUCGGCAAUGGACGAAAGUCUGACCGAGCAACGCCGCGUGAGUGAAGAAGGUUUUCGGAUCGUAAAACUCUGUUGUUAGAGAAGAACAAGGACGUUAGUAACUGAACGUCCCCUGACGGUAUCUAACCAGAAAGCCACGGCUAACUACGUGCCAGCAGCCGCGGUAAUACGUAGGUGGCAAGCGUUGUCCGGAUUUAUUGGGCGUAAAGCGAGCGCAGGCGGUUUCUUAAGU